CCUUCCCCUCCCCCCUGCCUCCCUCUUGGCUUGUAGGGCGGUGUCCCCCUCCCCCCCUCGUCCCCUGGGCACUGGCCCUUCCCCCUUCUCAGGCUGGCACCUCCACCCCUUAACUGCUCCUCCUCUCCACUUCAUCGGGCUUAUUCCCUCUCUGUUCCCCUCCUCCACUCAGGCCAUCCCCCACCAUCUCAAUUCAGACCCCAGCCUGGCUCUGACCUCCUUUUCCUCCCCUUCCUCACCCCCGGCCCCCAUCCCCGGCCCGGAAUCGCCAAAACCUAGUCUGACCCUGCCUCUUUUUGGAGAUGCUUGCUUGUUUCCCUCGCCCACGCCUAGGGCUUUGGGAAGUAUUUUCUAGCCCCUGAAGCUGAGAGUUCUUUCCACCACCGCUACCCCGCUCCCAAAAAGUAAAUGGGGAAGGGGGGCGCUACAAUGACCGUGAGGGUAAAUGGAACCCUCCCCUUAUUGGUCAGGAGAGUGAAUGGAAUUCCCCCAUUGGCCAGGCGGGUGAAUGGAAUCCCCCCUUUAUUGGCCCUGAAGGGGUUCAUUCCCCCCAUUCCUGACUGUAUCCAGUUCCGAGCCUUUCCAACCGAGACGCCCCUCCUCAUCCCUCCGCAGAGCAAGUUGGAGCCGAUGUUUGCUCUAUGCCUGGAUUGUUCUCUGGCCCCACACUUUACAGCCCAACUGAAACAGCAGCUUCUCCAGUAAGUCUUCGUGACACCUGUGCUUUGGAAUAAUUUUGUCCCUUGUAACUCGUGUAGCAUUUU
Molecule: long non-coding RNA, 764 nt
Filed under: Phascolarctos cinereus (koala)
Lineage: Eukaryota; Metazoa; Chordata; Mammalia; Diprotodontia; Phascolarctidae
Description: lncRNA (ENSPCIG00000035819.1)
Source: RNAcentral